RNAcentral lists this ribosomal RNA (412 nucleotides) under uncultured bacterium. RNAcentral describes it as "partial 16S ribosomal RNA". It matches the Rfam family "Bacterial small subunit ribosomal RNA", at positions 355 to 755 of the family's 1533-position model. The record is from RNAcentral.
UGGGGAAUUUUGGACGAAUUGGGCGAAAGCCUGAAUCCAGCAAUGCCGCGUGUGUGAAGAAGGCCUUCGGGUUGUAAAGCACUUUUGUCCGGAAAGAAAUCCUUGGCUCUAAUACAGUCGGGGGAUGACGGUACCGGAAGAAUAAGCACCGGCUAACUACGUGCCAGCAGCCGCGGUAAUACGUAGGGUGCAAGCGUUAAUCGGAAUUACUGGGCGUAAAGCGUGCGCAGGCGGUUUGCUAAGACCGAUGUGAAAUCCCCGGGCUCAACCUGGGAACUGCAUUGGUGACUGGCAGGGCUAGAGUAUGGCAGAGGGGGGUGAGAAUUCCACGUGUAGCAGUGAAAUGCGUAGAGAUGUGGAGGAAUACCGAUGGCGAAGGCAGCCCCCUGGCAAGUACUGACGCUCAUGCACG